This 481-nucleotide ribosomal RNA is filed under the name uncultured bacterium. RNAcentral describes it as "partial 16S ribosomal RNA". It matches the Rfam family "Bacterial small subunit ribosomal RNA", at positions 28 to 507 of the family's 1533-position model. The record is from RNAcentral.
GAUGAACGCUGGCGGCGUGCUUAACACAUGCAAGUCGAACGAAGCACUUUAUUUGAUUUCCUUCGGGACUGAUUAUUUUGUGACUGAGUGGCGGACGGGUGAGUAACGCGUGGGUAACCUGCCUUGUACAGGGGGAUAACAGUUGGAAACGGCUGCUAAUACCGCAUAAGCGCCCAGCAUCGCAUGAUGCAGUGUGAAAAACUCCGGUGGUAUAAGAUGGACCCGCGUUGGAUUAGCUAGUUGGUGAGGUAACGGCCCACCAAGGCGACGAUCCAUAGCCGACCUGAGAGGGUGACCGGCCACAUUGGGACUGGGACACGGCCCAAACUCCUACGGGAGGCAGCAGUGGGGAAUAUUGCACAAUGGGCGAAAGCCUGAUGCAGCGACGCCGCGUGAGCGAAGAAGUAUUUCGGUAUGUAAAGCUCUAUCAGCAGGGAAGAUAAUGACGGUACCUGACUAAGAAGCACCGGCUAAAUACGUG